This 844-nucleotide long non-coding RNA is filed under the name Homo sapiens (human). RNAcentral's name for it is "HSALNT0358425". The record is from RNAcentral. Lineage: Eukaryota; Metazoa; Chordata; Mammalia; Primates; Hominidae.
UUUCUCGUGGUGUCUUGUGGGAGUGGCGGUGCGAUCCCUCUCAGACUUGUGAGUCCCUGCUGGAGUCAGAAGUUUUAGGCGAAUCCCAGGCGCGCCAAGGAAAGUGCUACAAAAGCCAUCCAUCUUGCAAGCGUUGGUGCCGAGGCGCAACGCUGAGAACGCAAAUACUAAAGGGCGCUGUUCUUUCCUCGUGGAGCUCACAGUCCGCUGGGGAGACCGUGAGAUGACAGCAGAGAAACUAGCGCGAUCAGUAGUACUCAGCGCAAGGACAGCGAGCAGAGAAGGCAAACCUAGUGCUUGCUAAGGAAGACUUCACAGAGGAGUCACACCUUAAAAAAAAAAGGAGGGGUUAUUCCUGCUUUUGCCGUGCUGUGAUCCAGGGCAGAGCUCCAGGCUUCAUACGGUAAAACUCUCUGGGAAGGAAAGGAACUCAGAGUCCCAUGCAGAAAAUUGUUCAGCUGGAGGGGUAUCAGAAAGAUGGAUUUCCAAAGCCAACUGUUUCCUGUAGUGUGUGGAUCUCUGCAAGCAGAGCCUCAUCUUUCAAUUUCAGCUACAUGAAAGAGGAAGAAAGGGAAAGAUAUAUGUCAUACGUGAUAUACUUUAUGUGGCUUUGAAGACCCCUCUUUUGUGGGGCUACGGCUAAAGAACAUAGUUCCCUGGGAUGGAAUUGGCUCUUCCUAUUUCCCUACUUCAUGAAAACUCCAGUAGAAGACCUUAGAACCUUGUCCUGGUUACAUGGAUAUGUUUACUUUGUGAAAAUUCAUCAAGCACUAUGCACGGUCAUGAUUUGUACAUUUUUUUGUAAGAUAACUUCAUUAAAAUUUACUUUUUUUAUUUUUAAAAA